Molecule: ribosomal RNA, 83 nt
Filed under: Bacteroides caccae
Lineage: Bacteria; Pseudomonadati; Bacteroidota; Bacteroidia; Bacteroidales; Bacteroidaceae
Description: partial 16S ribosomal RNA
Rfam family: Bacterial small subunit ribosomal RNA
Source: RNAcentral
ACAAUGAAGAGUUUGAUCCUGGCUCAGGAUGAACGCUAGCUACAGGCUUAACACAUGCAAGUCGAGGGGCAUCAGUUUGGUUU